This 460-nucleotide ribosomal RNA is filed under the name uncultured bacterium. Its description in RNAcentral is "partial 16S ribosomal RNA". It matches the Rfam family "Bacterial small subunit ribosomal RNA", at positions 338 to 795 of the family's 1533-position model. The record is from RNAcentral.
CCUACGGGAGGCUGCAGUGAGGAAUAUUGGUCAAUGGACGAGAGUCUGAACCAGCCAAGUAGCGUGAAGGAUGACUGCCCUAUGGGUUGUAAACUUCUUUUAUAUGGGAAUAAAAUGUUCCACGUGUGGGAUUUUGUAUGUACCAUAUGAAUAAGGAUCGGCUAACUCCGUGCCAGCAGCCGCGGUAAUACGGAGGAUCCGAGGGUUAUCCGGAUUGAUUGGGUUUAAAGGGAGCGUAGGUGGAUUGUUAAGUCAGUUGUGAAAGUUUGCGGCUCAACCGUAAAAUUGCAGUUGAAACUGGCAGUCUUGAGUACAGUAGAGGUGGGCGGAAUUCGUGGUGUAGCGGUGAAAUGCUUAGAUAUCACGAAGAACUCCGAUUGCGAAGGCAGCUCACUGGACUGCAACUGACACUGAGGCUCGAAAGUGUGGGUAUCAAACAGGAUUAGAUACCCGAGUAGUC